CGCCAAACGGGCAGUUCAACGGUCGCCAUUUACACUCAAAAGUUAGACAGUCUGCAGUAGCCAUCGACGAGAUUGGAGAAGAUUCUGAACAAAAGAUGUCAUCAUCUUCUGCUCCAUACCCAUCAGAUGAGGGUAAUGAAGAGGGUAACAUUGCUGUCCAACUUUUAAAAUUCAAAACCAGACUGCUUGAAGCAGUGGCAGAACUACAUAUCCACAGGGAUGCAGAGAUACGAUGUGAGGAGCAGAUCAAUAAACUUGUGUUGGAAAAACAAGAAUUAGAAUGGCAGAAGGUAUUUAUUAUGAUGACACAUUAUUAACAGCCAUAUUCUGUUUUUAAUGUAAAAAUGCUGAUGGGUAGAAAGAAGGAAGCACAUAGGUACACCUAUCUGAAACAAUAAAUUCUGAGGAAGAUAGUUGUAUAUGGCAAG
This is a long non-coding RNA of Scleropages formosus (Asian bonytongue), 428 nucleotides long. RefSeq lists it as uncharacterized. The transcript has 3 exons. NCBI's taxonomy places the organism in Eukaryota, Metazoa, Chordata, Actinopteri, Osteoglossiformes, Osteoglossidae. The record is from RefSeq and is a predicted model, not a curated record.